UUUCUCAUUUUCUUCUUCCAUUUUUCAUGAAAAAUAGGGGAUGAGGCCUUAAGCCAACCCAUUUUCCAUGGCCAUGGCCCUCUCCGGCAACACCCCGGGCAGCUCUGGUAGGAGAGGCUCCUACCCAUGGUGACCCAGGAAAAACCGCAUCCGAUGAUAGUAGCCUGUCCGAUGGAAGGAAAGAAGAAAGCAAAAAUAGGAGAGGCUUGGUCCCCUAU
Molecule: long non-coding RNA, 218 nt
Filed under: Elaeis guineensis (African oil palm)
Lineage: Eukaryota; Viridiplantae; Streptophyta; Magnoliopsida; Arecales; Arecaceae
Description: long non-coding RNA (EGUI_LNC002254)
Source: RNAcentral